Molecule: ribosomal RNA, 407 nt
Filed under: uncultured bacterium
Lineage: Bacteria
Description: partial 16S ribosomal RNA
Rfam family: Bacterial small subunit ribosomal RNA
Source: RNAcentral
GACGAACGCUGGCGGCGUGCCUAAUACAUGCAAGUAGGACGCAGUUGCGAACGGGUGAGUAACGCGUCGGUAACUGCCUAUUAGAGGGGGAUAACUAUUGGCAACGAUAGCUACUACCGCCUACUAGUAGAUGGACCUGCGUUGUAUUUGGUAGUAGGUAGGGUAAUGGCCUACCUAGGCGACGAUACAUAGCCGACCUGGGAGGGUGAUCGGCCAAACGGGGACGUAGACACGGCCCAGACUCCUACUGGAGGCAGCAGUAGGGAAUCUUCGGCAAUGGGGGGAACCCUGACCGAGCAACGCCGCGUGAGUGAAGAAGGUUUUCGGAGCGUAAAGCUCUGUUGUUAAGGAAGCGGUACUUAACCAGAAAGGGACGGCUAACUACGUGCCAGCAGCCGCGGUAAUUC